Molecule: ribosomal RNA, 468 nt
Filed under: uncultured bacterium
Lineage: Bacteria
Description: partial 16S ribosomal RNA
Rfam family: Bacterial small subunit ribosomal RNA
Source: RNAcentral
GACGAACGCUGGCGGCGUGCCUAACACAUGCAAGUCGAACGGAAAGGCCCUGCUUUUGCGGGGCGCUCGAGUGGCGAACGGGUGAGUAACACGUGAGUAACCUGUCCUUGACUUUGGGAUAACUUCAGGAAACUGGGGCUAAUACCGGAUAGGAGCUCCUGCUGCAUGGUGGGGGUUGGAAAGUUUCGGCGGUUGGGGAUGGACUCGCGGCUUAUCAGCUUGUUGGUGGGGUAGUGGCUUACCAAGGGUUUGACGGGUAGCCGGCCUGGGAGGGUGACCAGCGACAUUGGGACUGCGAUACGGACCAGACUCCUACGGGAGGCAGCAGUGGAGAAUAUUGCACAAUGAGCGGAAGCCUGAUGCAGCAACGCCGCGUGCGGGAUGACGGCCUUCGGGUUGUAAACCGCUUUCGCCUGUGACGAAGCGUGAGUGACGGUAAUGGGUAAAGAAGCACCGGCUAACUACGUG